UACGUAGGGGGCAAGCGUUGUCCAGAUUUAUUGGGCGUAAAGAGCGUGUAGGCGGCCAGGUAGGUCCGUUGUGAAAACUCGAGGCUCAACCUCGAGACGUCGGCGGAAACCCUCUGGCUAGAGUCCGGAAGAGGAGAGUGGAAUUCCUGGUGUAGCGGUGAAAUGCGCAGAUAUCAGGAAGAACACCCGUGGCUAAGGCGGCUCUCUAGUACGGUACUGACGCUGAGACGCGAAAGCGUGGGGAGCGAACAGG
This 253-nucleotide ribosomal RNA is filed under the name uncultured bacterium. Its description in RNAcentral is "partial 16S ribosomal RNA". It matches the Rfam family "Bacterial small subunit ribosomal RNA", at positions 524 to 776 of the family's 1533-position model. The record is from RNAcentral.